CGGGACUACCCGCUGAG
This 17-nucleotide ribosomal RNA is filed under the name Munnozia pinnulosa. RNAcentral's name for it is "partial 26S ribosomal RNA". The record is from RNAcentral. Lineage: Eukaryota; Viridiplantae; Streptophyta; Magnoliopsida; Asterales; Asteraceae.